CCUACGGGAGGCAGCAGUGGGGAAUCUUGCGCAAUGGGCGAAAGCCUGACGCAGCGACGCCGCGUGCGGGACGAAGGCCUUCGGGUCGUAAACCGCUUUCAGCAGGGACGAUAGUGACGGUACCUGCAGAAGAAGCCCCGGCCAACUACGUGC
RNAcentral lists this ribosomal RNA (153 nucleotides) under uncultured bacterium. RNAcentral describes it as "partial 16S ribosomal RNA". It matches the Rfam family "Bacterial small subunit ribosomal RNA", at positions 338 to 508 of the family's 1533-position model. The record is from RNAcentral.